This 718-nucleotide long non-coding RNA is filed under the name Cricetulus griseus (Chinese hamster). RNAcentral's name for it is "lncRNA (ENSCGRG00015043288.1)". The record is from RNAcentral. Lineage: Eukaryota; Metazoa; Chordata; Mammalia; Rodentia; Cricetidae.
CUGGGCUGGGAACAGUAUGUUCAGACAGAGCCAGGAGAAUUCAUCGCUGUGAAGUUACAGGCCUUAGUCUGAGGCUGCUCUCCAGCUUGGCGCCUGACAGAGAAAAUUGGCUUUAGGUCAGAACCCUGGUGUAAUGAAAAGGCACGCUGGAGGGAGACCUAAACCCAAGGGCGGUCCUUCAAUGCCAGGAAACUGCCAGACUUCGGGUUGGUCACUCAUCUCUCUGGGACACUGUCCCUAUGAGUGUGAAGUGAAGGUAGUAGGGGCAGCCCCAUUUCUCUGAAAUAUUGAUAAGGACAAAAUGUGUGUGGAAGCAAAACUGUAAAGUGACAAGGCUUGUGAUCAACUCUGACAGUUGUGCCUAUGCCUGUCCAGGACCUAGGAUGAAAGCAAGGGCUGGAGAACUUUAGCACAAGAUAAAGGCAGAGAGAAUCUGGACAUCCAGGCUUCUUCCCUUCUUCACAAUGCUGACUUUCCACCUGUACUUCAUCCUAACACAAUAUCCAUUUGGCCUGAAAGCCUGGUGUUUUCCUACCCCUUGCUGGAGAAUGGGUCACUGUAAUGCUGGAAGAAGCUAGACGAUCUACUACCAAAAGUGCACAAGAACUUCACAAGACAAUGCCGUAGGCCCCCAGCUGUAGGCCUCGAAGACAAUAAAUACAUCUCAGUGCUACAGAUAAACACAUCCCCCUUUCAAUUUAUAGAUCUUUAUGUAAGC